Molecule: long non-coding RNA, 274 nt
Filed under: Mytilus galloprovincialis (Mediterranean mussel)
Lineage: Eukaryota; Metazoa; Mollusca; Bivalvia; Mytilida; Mytilidae
Source: RNAcentral
GAAAUAAGCAGUAUUCGUUGUAAGGAUAUAGUUUUCAAAGAUGAUCAUUUUUUAAUCAAGAUAUUUAAGAGUAAAACUGACCAAUAUAGAUUAGGUGACGAAAUUGUCAUUUGUAAAGGAGAGUCAAUUGCUUGUCCAUAUUUAUUAUUGAAAAAGUAUUUUCAAUUAGCUAUGAUUAAUUCUGAAUCAGAAAACUUUUUAUUUAGACCAAUUUUCAGAUCAAAACAAGUUUGUUCAUUAAUAUAUAAAAAUAAACGGUUAAGCUAUACCAGAG